UCAGGAAAAUGACUCCCAUCCCCAAUAUGUAAAGAGCUCCUAGAAAUUGAUAAGAAAAAGAUCAGCAAAAGAGAGUAUGAGACCCUUUACAGAAAGAAAUACAAAAGGUUUUAAGCAUAUGAACGUAUGUUCAUUCUCAAUGAUAAUAUACAAAAUUGUCUAAUCCAAAGGUUUGAAAAUAUACUCUGAAGCUGUGUAGAAAUAGGAACUUUUAUUCAUUGCCAACAGAAAUAUAAGUUGCCUGCCAAUGGAUGCAGUUUGACGAUAUCUAUCAAAGUUACAAAUUGGCCAGGUGCAGUGGCUCACACUUGUAAUACUAGCACUUUGGGAGGCCAAAGCAGGUGGAUCACUUGAGGUCAGGAGUUCGAGACCAGCCUGGCCAACAUGGUGAAACCCCUUCUCUACAAAAAGAUACAAAAAUUAGCUGGGCAUGAUGGUGCUCCUGUAAUCCCAGCUACUUGGGAGGCUGAGGCACUUGAACCCAGGAGGUGGAGGUUGCAGUGAGCCGAGAUCGCACCACUGCACUCCAGCCUGGGCAACAGAGAGAGGCUCUGUCUCAAAACAAUAACAACAACAACAAAAACCCCACAAAAUUACAAAUGUAUUUACCCUUUCAUUUAUCAGUCCCAGUACAGGGAAUUCAUCCCACUUAACACUUCUACACUUGACAUGUGUUCACAGUUAUUGAUUGCAGCUUUCCUCUCAAGAGCCAAAGAUUAGAAACAACCCAAUUUCCUCCAGCAAGGGUCCGGUUAAAUAAAUGAUGACCAUCCACAUGACAAAAUACAAUGUAGUUGGGAAAGAAAAUAAGAAAAAGUGAAAGGAGGGAGCCUUUUAUGUAUCACUCUGGAAAGAUCUCUGGCUAAACCCAGUUGCUACCAGGGCUAGCACUUACUGCUCUGUGCCUGAGGCACCCAGCUGGAUUUUACCAGCACCUUAGGAGAUUGCUUUACCAGCAUGUCCCCAACACCUGGGUCAUCAUGGUCACUAUGGGCCAGGCCGGAGCUCCUGGCCCAGCUCAACCACUGACCAGAAGAGAGAUAUUGGCCAGUCCUCCUGUGGGGACACAUAGCCCAGGUCCUGCAGUGAACUCUAACCCUGGGCCUCCAGGUCACGUGAAGACAGACAAACUGCAGAGAGCUCUUCUUUGCUUGCCUUAAAGAAUCAAGGUCAACUUCAUUAUGGAACCAGGAAAUGGAUAUCCUCACAUGCCCAUUUUACAGAUGGGAAAACUGAGGCCCAGUGAGGGGAAAGCCAUUGGGAAUCAUGGAUAGCAUGGCAUGGCCGUUUGGAGCAAGGAUCCCACAUCCCCUCCACCACAGGCCCCACCCAGGCUGGCCCUGAGCUGCGGGACAGGAACUUGUGCCUGACCUACUGAUCCCGGCAGCUGCUCCCACUGAGCUUGGACCACGUGCUUGAGACCCGCCUCCCCUCAUUUAAACCCUGCUCGGGCAGCCUCACACCAGUGGGGACCGUACUUGUUCACAGCAAUUCUCUCAAGCCUCUAGAACAGAGCCUGACACAGGAGGUGCUUAAUGUUUACUGAAUAAAUAGAUGAAUGAAUCAGUGUAAUCCUCCCAACAGCCCUUCGAGGGGGUGCUCUAAAGAAUCCUGCGACACAAAGAAGUCUUGGGUUCAUUCAUUCAGUCAUUCAUGCAUUCAGCACCUGUGUGCUGCUCCCUGUUGUAUGCAGACACCUGGAAUAUGACAGUGAGCCUCAAACACCUGGAAUAUAACAGUGAACCCCAGGCCCCUGGAAUAUGAUGGUGAAUGCCAGACCCCUGGAAUACGAUGAUAAACCCCAGGCCCCUGGAAUACGAUGGUGAACCCCAGGCCCCUGGAAUACGAUGGUGAGCCCAGACACCUGGAAUACAGCAGUGAACCCCAGACACCUGGAAUAUGAGAGUGAAUCCCAGACACCUGGAAUACAGCAGUGAACCCCAGACACCUGGAAUAUGACAGUGAAUCCCAGACACCUGGAAUAUAACAGUGAACCCAGGCACCUGGAAUAUGACGGUGAACCCCAGACACCUGGAAUACGACAGUGAGCCCCAGACACCUGGAAUACAACGGUGAACCCGACACCUGGAAUACGACAGUGAACGCCAGACACCUGGAAUAUGAUGGUGAACCCCAGACACCUGGAAUAUAACAGUGAACCCAAGCACCUGGAAUAUGACGGUGAACCCCAGACACCUGGAAUACGACAGUGAACCCCAGACACCUGGAAUAUGGUGGUGAACCCCAGGCCCCUAGAAUAUGACAGUGAACCCCAGACACCUGGAAUACGACAGUGAGCCCCAGACACCUGGAAUACAACAGUGAACCCAACACCUGGAAUACGACAGUGAACGCCAGACACCUGGAAUAUGAUGGUGAACCCCAGGCCCCUGGAAUAUGACAGUGAACCCCAGACACCUGGAAUACAACAGUGAACCCCAGACACCUGGAAUACGACAGUGAGCCCCAGACACCUGGAAUACAAUGGUGAACCCCAGACACCUGGAAUACGACAGUGAACGCCAGACACCUGGAAUAUGAUGGUGAACUCCAGACCUCUGGAAUAUGGUGGUGAACCCCAGGCCCCUGGAAUAUGACAGUGAACCCCAGACACCUGGAAUACGACAGUGAGCCCCAGACACCUGGAAUACAAUGGUGAACUCCAGACACCUGGAAUACAACGAUGAACCCCAGACACCUGGAAUACGACAGUGAACCCCAGACACCUGGAAUAUGGUGGUGAACCCCAGGCCCCUGGAAUAUGACAGUGAACCCCGUAAACCUGGAAUACAAUGGUAAACCCUAGACACCUGGAAUACAACGAUGAACCCCAGACAACUGGAAUAUGAAAGUGAACGCCAGACACCUGGAAUAUGAUGGUGAACCCCAGACCUCUGGAAUAUGACAGUGAACCUAUACACCAUCCCUGUCCUGAGAGCUCACAGCCCAACAGAGGGGACAGCAUCUCACCCACAGCCAGCAGUGGAGGCUACAAAGCUAGAGCCUGCUCUAGCAUAAGGUCUUGUGCCAGCCACAGAGCUAGAGCCACCUCCAGCUCCAACACUCGGGCCAGCUCCAGAGCUAAAGCCAUCUUCAGUGUCGGUUCUUGCCCCCCUUCUGGCACCAGGCUAGAGUUAGAAUCAGCUCCAGAAUAAGAGCCAGUUCUAGAUCUAGCUCCAGCACCACUGCCUGGGAUAGAGGCAGCUCCAGCCCUGGCUCAGGCCCCCGCUACUGAGCCAGUUCCACAGCCAGAACGCGGCAGCUCGAGCAUCGGCCACCACUCCAGCUCCAGUGCGGGAGCCUCAGGCAGGCACCACCUUCAGCACCAGCUCCUGUGCCAGAGCUUUAAGGCCCCUCCCUGGGCUGGCAACAUUUCAUUUUUAUAGUAUGUUUCUAUUUCAUAUUCUUUAUGGUUUAUUAUAUUUUGUGAUUUAAAUUUU
This 3440-nucleotide long non-coding RNA is filed under the name Homo sapiens (human). Its description in RNAcentral is "HSALNT0156383". Lineage: Eukaryota; Metazoa; Chordata; Mammalia; Primates; Hominidae. The record is from RNAcentral.